AUGAUGAAAGGAGAAGGGAAAGGCUGCGGCUGGCCUUCAUUUCCUGCUCCUGCUAUCUGGGGAUUCAGAGAAUGAUCCCAGGACCCAGAUCUUGAAGAUUCCAACAGCUCUUCCUGCAAACACAAGCCCUUGUGCGCCUGAGCCUUGCUCUCCAGCCUGGAGACAUCCAUCUGCCCACUCUGCUAGGAACUGCUGAGUGUCAGGAAGCACCAUCGGCUCUGCUGUCCUCCUCCUGGCAAAGAGGCACAAUGACCACAUUAUUUCUCUUCCAGCUUCACAUUACAGCAUGGAAGCUGUCGCCAAGUUUGAUUUCACUGCCUCAGGUGAGGAUGAACUGAGCUUUCACACUGGAGAUAUUUUGAAGAUUUUAAGUAACCAAGAGGAGUGGUUUAAGGCGGAGCUUGGGAGCCAGGAAGGAUAUGUGCCCAAGAAUUUCAUAGACAUCCAGUUUCCCGAAUGGUUUCACGAAGGCCUCUCUCGACACCAGGCAGAGAACUUACUCAUGGGCAAGGAGGUUGGUUUCUUCAUCAUCCGGGCCAGCCAGAGCUCCCCGGGGGACUUCUCCAUCUCUGUCAGGCAUGAGGAUGACGUUCAACACUUCAAGGUCAUGCGAGACAACAAGGGCAAUUACUUCCUAUGGACUGAGAAGUUCCCCUCCCUAAAUAAGCUGGUGGACUACUACAGGACAACCUCUAUCUCUAAACAGAAGCAGAUCUUCCUCAGAGACAGAACCCGAGAAGACCAGGGUCACCGGGGCAACAGCCUGGACCGGAGGUCCCAGGGAGGCCCACACCUCAGUGGGGCUGUGGGAGAAGAAAUCCGGCCUUCGAUGAACCGGAAGGUGUCGGAUCACCCCCCGACCCUUCCCCUGCAGCAGCACCAGCCACAGCCUCCACAGUACGCCCCAGCGCCACAGCCGCCACAGCAGCGGUAUCUGCAGCACCACCAUUUCCACCAGGAACGCCGAGGAGGCAGCCUUGACAUAAAUGACGGGCACUGUGGUGCUGGCCUGGGCAGUGAAAUGAAUAUGGCCCUCAUGCAUCGGAGACACACAGACCCAGUGCAGCUCCAGGCAGCAGGGCGAGUGCGGUGGGCCCGGGCACUGUACGACUUUGAGGCGCUGGAGGAUGAUGAGCUGGGAUUCCACAGUGGGGAGGUGGUGGAGGUCCUGGACAGCUCCAACCCAUCCUGGUGGACUGGCCGCCUCCACAACAAACUGGGCCUCUUCCCUGCCAACUACGUGGCACCCAUGACCCGAUGAACUCUUCGGGGGACAGAAGCUUUUUGUCUGACGCUGCCCACAAGAGAGAGGGCAAGUAAAAAAGGCUGGACUCCAUGACUGUAUAUACAUAUCUCUCUCUGCGUCUCUCGGUGUACACACACAACUUUUUAUACUGGUUAUUUAUUGGCAAUUGGGCUGGUAAUUAGUUAAUGCAAAAGGGAACUCAGGUGGAGAAUAAUAUUCACACUUGCUUUUCUGCUCCCCUCAGGGGUAUGUGGAAGGCAGCCGGGGGAGUUAGGGGGUGGGGCAGGGAAACGAAAAGGAGCUUUGUCCUGGCCUGAGCUGUCACUGCUUCCUCCUUGUCUUGGGAAUUUUCACUGAGAACAGCUAAGCAAAGACCACACCUCGGCACUGGAUGCAGAGCAAUAGGGUGGAGUUGAACUUGGUGGGGCACGUCCCAGCUCACCUGCAAGUCCCGCUUACCUGGAGGGUUUGCAGGCAGCUCUCCUCAUGUCCUCCAAGGGGUGGGCACUGCUGCAUUAGGAAUUAAGGUGCAGCUUUGUGCCGCGGGCAGCAGCAAGUCUGGGCGGGGAUGUGGAAGCAGGGCUGGGUUGGAGAGACCCUGCCUGUGCGAGGCUAGCCUCCUAGUCACCUGCUAGCUGAGACUUUUAUCUCUGUUCAAAUUAAUGUUCCUUGGGCCUUUCAAAUGAAUGUUCAAUGUGAGACGCCAAGUACUGGGAAGUCAAGAGAUUUUUCUAAGGUCCCCAAGCAACUUACUCAAUGUAACUGUUUCCCCAGCUAUGAAGGAAAUAGCACCCUAGAUUCCGUAAAGUGCUUGGAGAAGCUCUGGCUGAGAAUGCUGCAUUUUAGAGUCAUUGUUUUAUGGUGACAAGGGUGUAUCUUCAGGGCUCUGUUCAUUUUCCGUCGGGAUUUUCUGUUUCGAAGAUGCCCUGCCCAGUGGCAUGGGAAAGCAGCUCACUUGAUAAGAGCAUUGACUGUCAACUGAUUGACUAAGCUUGACCCCAGGUGGAAGCUGGCUUUGACAUGAGUUUCCUGCUCGGUCUGAUCAUUGCCGUCCUCCCGCCACCCAAGUGUUGCACUUGGAGCAAGGAGCUCCACCAUGGCUGUCCCUCACCACCACCUCACACUAGAAUCAUGUGUCCCAGGCUCACCCUGGAGGUGCAAAGCACAGGUCAGCCUGGCCGGGGAGGAAAGAGACACUGGAGAGGAAGCUCAGGGCCUUAGGGGAGGCCAGGCACAAACACUGUCUGCACCGGGGCAUCCAGAGUUUGUGAGUGUGGGCGAGCACCCCUGCGUGUGUGCACAUGUAUGCUUGCAUGCACAUGUGUGUGCACCCCUGUGUGUAUACAUGUGCUUUUCUAUGCAUAUGUGUCCACCCCUGCGUGUGUACACGUGUGCUUGUGUGUGCAUAUGUGCGCAUGCGUGCACGUGUGCUUAUAUGUGCGUGCACUUGUGUGCAUGCGUGUGUGUGUGCUGAGACAGGAAAGAGGAGUGAAAGCAUUGGUGAAGGAACAAGGAAGUUUUCUCUUCCCCAGCCUCUCCUGCUCUAAGGAGGGACGGGGUGGGGGGCAGCCAUUAUUGAAGGUGAUAGAAGAAAGAUUUUCUGACUCAGAAGUAACUGCCAGUGUAGCACAAGCAGUGUCCCUUGUGACUGAUUCUACAAUUCUCUGAUCCCCAUGCUUCCUCCUUUAGAGGAAAGAGGAAAAAAGGGACUCUGUGGUGGGUAUCAGGAAGCAAAAGAAAAUAGCCUGGUGGAGGCAGGGGGGGUUGAGCAUGAGUAAGGAGCGCCUGCAGCUUAUGGAAGUGAAGGCAGAGAGGGAAAGGUAGCAAAGACAUCCCGGAGGAUCCACGGGCAGCAAGAGAGGCACGGGGGGGAAGGGGGAGAGCGAGUGGGCCCAGGGAGGACAGCGGUGUGCAGCUGGUGGGCAGACAUGCAGGAGGAGGGGUGAUAAGCUGGGAAAGGAAGAAUCAGAGCGGAGAAACCACUGCUGCAGAAGGCAGGGAGCAAAGAAGCAUGAGAAAAAGAACAGGAGAAAGAACAAAGGCAGAGAAGACCUCAUCAGCUAUUUUGGUGCUAAGUAAUGUGAAAUGCUACAGUAAAUAAAAGUCAAUAGUAAUGUUUGAUUUUACAGUGUUUACAAACCAUAUGUUUUAAACAGCCCACAAACUUCAUCCAGUUGUCUGAUGAUGUGGGAGGACCAGCUCUAGUUAGACAGAGGUACGUGAUUUGAUUCUGAUCGAGGUUUGUGCCUUGAAAGACUUCUCAAGAACACAGUAAUGAAACAAAAUGAUGGCACCAGACUGAGCUGUAUGGCUAUUAGGCUGUAAGCUCCGUGGAGCAGGGGUCACCUCUGUUUUGUAAACUAUUGUACACCCAGCACCUAGCACUGUGCAUGGCAUGCAGAGGCUCAAUAAACAUUUCUCUAAUGAAGGCGUGA
Molecule: RNA transcript, 3681 nt
Organism: Sapajus apella (tufted capuchin)
Lineage: Eukaryota; Metazoa; Chordata; Mammalia; Primates; Cebidae
Gene: GRAP2
Gene name: GRB2 related adaptor protein 2
Exons: 8
Source: RefSeq, a predicted model, not a curated record